Molecule: ribosomal RNA, 462 nt
Filed under: Nocardia nova
Lineage: Bacteria; Bacillati; Actinomycetota; Actinomycetes; Mycobacteriales; Nocardiaceae
Also listed under: 2 other names
Description: bacterial SSU rRNA
Rfam family: Bacterial small subunit ribosomal RNA
Source: RNAcentral
GACGAACGCUGGCGGCGUGCUUAACACAUGCAAGUCGAGCGGUAAGGCCCUUCGGGGUACACGAGCGGCGAACGGGUGAGUAACACGUGGGUGAUCUGCCUCGCACUCUGGGAUAAGCCUGGGAAACUGGGUCUAAUACCGGAUAUGACCACUGAUCGCAUGGUUGGUGGUGGAAAGAUUUAUCGGUGCGAGAUGGGCCCGCGGCCUAUCAGCUUGUUGGUGGGGUAAUGGCCUACCAAGGCGACGACGGGUAGCCGACCUGAGAGGGUGACCGGCCACACUGGGACUGAGACACGGCCCAGACUCCUACGGGAGGCAGCAGUGGGGAAUAUUGCACAAUGGGCGAAAGCCUGAUGCAGCGACGCCGCGUGAGGGAUGACGGCCUUCGGGUUGUAAACCUCUUUCGACAGGGACGAAGCGCAAGUGACGGUACCUGUAGAAGAAGCACCGGCCAACUACGUG